ACAGAGUCCCAUAUCAGGGUGUCCACCCUGAGUGGAGAAGUGAGAGAGUCUCUGGGAAAAUCUGAUGCAUGUCCUCUGGAUUCCAGGUUAGUAUUAUAUAGCACGGUAAUUCUCUCAUGAUGCUGAGCAGCUGUAGUGAGCUACACUUCCCAGUUGGCCACAUGACAACAAAAAAGAAAGCCAUCAGAUCCGAGACUCUCCCAACUGGACUUAAUUAAUUACUCAAGGGCAAAACCUGUAUCCUGAUUCAUCUUGGAAUUCUCAGUGCCUAACAAAGUGUUUGCAUUGCACUUGGCUUUAGAGGGAUUCAAUAACUAAUAAUUGAGACUGAACUAACUGAAAUAUAUUGAACUUAU
Long non-coding RNA from Canis lupus familiaris (dog), 356 nucleotides. RefSeq lists it as uncharacterized. NCBI's taxonomy places the organism in Eukaryota, Metazoa, Chordata, Mammalia, Carnivora, Canidae. The record is from RefSeq and is a predicted model, not a curated record. The transcript is spliced from 3 exons.